This 71-nucleotide transfer RNA is filed under the name Microcaldota archaeon. RNAcentral's name for it is "Candidatus Micrarchaeota archaeon tRNA-Cys". It matches the Rfam family "tRNA". From Rfam's summary of the family: Transfer RNA (tRNA) molecules are approximately 80 nucleotides in length. Their secondary structure includes four short double-helical elements and three loops (D, anti-codon, and T loops). RNAcentral also lists the same sequence under 1 other name. Lineage: Archaea; Nanobdellati; Microcaldota. The record is from RNAcentral.
GUCGGGUUGGCAGAGUGGUUAUGCAUCCGGCUGCAGACCGGAAGACGCGGGUUCGAAUCCCGCGCCCGACU